Pan troglodytes (chimpanzee) is the source of this 218-nucleotide long non-coding RNA. RefSeq lists it as uncharacterized. NCBI's taxonomy places the organism in Eukaryota, Metazoa, Chordata, Mammalia, Primates, Hominidae. The transcript is spliced from 3 exons. The record is from RefSeq and is a predicted model, not a curated record.
GGAGAGCAAACCAAAGUCCAUCGAGGCUAAGAAUGUCCCAUGAAGCCACAAAGUAUGCUCAAAUUUCCCCAGUUGUGUUCAAGAGUCGGAAUGCCAAACCUGAAGGAAUCCUAGCACCUGCCUUAUCUGGUGAAAUUCUGAAUAUAAGAAGAAUGCCCACCCAGGAAAUGUAUAUAUCAGAUGGAAACUGAAGAUGAAAUAGAACACAGAUAACUGAA